This is a non-coding RNA of Epinephelus lanceolatus (giant grouper), 188 nucleotides long. NCBI's taxonomy places the organism in Eukaryota, Metazoa, Chordata, Actinopteri, Perciformes, Serranidae. The record is from RefSeq and is a predicted model, not a curated record.
GGUGACCUGCAGAACACAUCUGAGGAAUCAGAUCUCCAGUGGGACAAUUCACCAGAGAUCAGUGAACAGACACGUGAGAACAUGAAGACUGUGAUUCUUGCUCUUGUGGUGUUACUGGUUGUCAGCCAGGGUGAAGCCUUGAGGUGUUACUGUGGAGGUCGUACACAGUGUUCAGACCGUAUACAGAC